UUCGGUCCUCGGUAGUGGCCCCCGGAGUCAUCCUCCGUGAGCCCCGAUCGAAGACCGCC
Regulatory RNA element from Jonesia denitrificans DSM 20603, 59 nucleotides. It matches the Rfam family "Actino-pnp RNA". NCBI's taxonomy places the organism in Bacteria, Bacillati, Actinomycetota, Actinomycetes, Micrococcales, Jonesiaceae. The record is from Rfam.